RNAcentral lists this ribosomal RNA (492 nucleotides) under uncultured bacterium. RNAcentral describes it as "partial 16S ribosomal RNA". It matches the Rfam family "Bacterial small subunit ribosomal RNA", at positions 29 to 507 of the family's 1533-position model. The record is from RNAcentral.
AGUGAACGCUGGCGGUAGGCCUAACACAUGCAAGUCGAACGGCAGCACAGUAAUAGCUUGCUCUUACGGUUGGCGAGUGGCGGACGGGUGAGGAAUACAUCGGAAUCUACUUUUUCGUGGGUGAUAACGUAGGGAAACUUACGCUAAUACCGCAUACGACCUACGGGUGAAAGCAUGGGAUCUUCUGCCCUUUCGCGUUUGUAUGAGCCGAUGUCGGUUUAGCUAGUUGGCUGGGUAAAGGCCCACCAAGGCGACGAUCCGUAGAUGGUCUGAGAGGAUGAUAAGCCACACUGGAACGGAGACACGGUACAGACUCCUACGGGAGGCAGCAGGGGGGAAUAUUGGACAAUGGGCGAAAGCAUGAUCCAGCAAGACCGCGUGGGUGAAGAAGGCCUUCGGGUUGUAAAGCCCUUUUGUUGGGAAAGAAAAGCAGCAGGUUAAUACCCCGCUGUUCUGACGGUAACCAAAGAAUAAGCACCGGCUAACUUCGUG